This 467-nucleotide ribosomal RNA is filed under the name uncultured Alphaproteobacteria bacterium. RNAcentral's name for it is "bacterial SSU rRNA". It matches the Rfam family "Bacterial small subunit ribosomal RNA", at positions 9 to 521 of the family's 1533-position model. Lineage: Bacteria; Pseudomonadati; Pseudomonadota; Alphaproteobacteria. The record is from RNAcentral.
GAGUUUGAUCAUGGCUCAGAACGAACGCUGGCGGCAGGCCUAACACAUGCAAGUCGAACGCUCUAGCAAUAGAGAGUGGCAGACGGGUGAGUAACACGUGGGAAUCUUCCUAUCGGUACGGAAUAGCUCAGGGAAACUUGGGGUAAUACCGCAUACGCCUUUCGGGGAAGAUUUAUCGCCGAUAGAUGAGCCCGCGUCUGAUUAGCUAGUUGGUGAGGUAAUGGCUCACCAAGGCGACGAUCAGUAGCUGGUCUGAGAGGAUGACCAGCCACACUGGGACUGAGACACGGCCCAGACUCCUACGGGAGGCAGCAGUGGGGAAUAUUGGACAAUGGGCGCAAGCCUGAUCCAGCCAUGCCGCGUGAGUGACGAAGGUCUUCGGAUUGUAAAGCUCUUUUGGCGGGGACGAUAAUGACGGUACCCGCAGAAUAAGCCCCGGCUAACUUCGUGCCAGCAGCAGCCGCGGU